RNAcentral lists this ribosomal RNA (1241 nucleotides) under alkali sediment metagenome. RNAcentral describes it as "bacterial LSU rRNA". It matches the Rfam family "Bacterial large subunit ribosomal RNA", at positions 1626 to 2925 of the family's 2925-position model. The record is from RNAcentral.
CGAGAACAAUUGUCGCCCGUACCGUAAACCGACACAGGUGGGUGAGAUGAGUAUUCUAAGGCGCGUGGAAGAACCCUGGUUAAGGAACUCUGCAAACUAGCACCGUAUCUUCGGUAUAAGGUGUGCCCGCAGUAGGUGAAGAGAUUUACUCUUGGAGCCGAAACGGGUCUCAGCAAAGUGUCCCUCCCGACUGUUUACCAAAAACACAGCACUCUGCUAACUCGUAAGAGGAUGUAUAGGGUGUGACGCCUGCCCGGUGCUCGAAUGUUAAAAGGAUGUGUCAGCGCAAGCGAAGCAUUGAAUUGAAGCACGAGUAAACGGCGGCCGUAACUAUAACGGUCCUAAGGUAGCGAAAUUCCUUGUCGGUUAAAUACCGACCUGCAUGAAUGGCGUAACGAGAUGGGAGCUGUCUCAACCAGGGAUCCAGUGAAAUUGUAGUGGAGGUGAAAAUUCCUCCUACCCGCGGAAAGACGGAAAGACCCCGUGCACCUUUACUAUAGCUUGACAUUGGAGGCAUCCUUGAGAUACCACCCUUGAGUAUUCUGAUAGCUAACUCGCAUCAGUUAUCCUGAUGGAGGACACUGUCUGGUGGGUAGUUUGACUGGGGCGGUCGCCUCCUAAAAAGUAACGGAGGCUUACAAAGUUCGGCUCAGAAGGGUUGGAAAUCCUUCGUAGAGUAUAAUGGCAUAAGCCGGACUGACUGUAAGACAGACAAGUCGAGCAGAGUCGAAAGACGGUCAUAGUGAUCCGGUGGUUCUGUGUGGAAGGGCCAUCGCUCAAAGGAUAAAAGGUACGCCGGGGAUAACAGGCUGAUCUCCCCCAAGAGCUCACAUCGACGGGGAGGUUUGGCACCUCGAUGUCGGCUCAUCGCAUCCUGGGGCUGGAGCAGGUCCCAAGGGUAUGGCUGUUCGCCAUUUAAAGCGGUACGCGAGCUGGGUUCAGAACGUCGUGAGACAGUUCGGUCCCUAUCUUCCGUGGGCGCAGGAGAGUUGAGGAGAGCUGACCCUAGUACGAGAGGACCGGGUUGGACGUACCACUGGUGUACCAGUUGUUCUGCCAAGAGCAUCGCUGGGUAGCUACGUACGGAUGUGAUAACCGCUGAAAGCAUCUAAGCGGGAAGCCAACUCCAAGAUGAACUCUCCCUGAAGUUCCCUUGAAGACUACAAGGUUAAUAGGCUAGGUGUGUAAGAGNAGUAAUNCUUUCAGCUGACUAGUACUAAUAGAACGUUCGUCUUUAUCUA